This 179-nucleotide unclassified non-coding RNA is filed under the name Alternariaster helianthi. RNAcentral describes it as "internal transcibed spacer 1". The record is from RNAcentral. Lineage: Eukaryota; Fungi; Ascomycota; Dothideomycetes; Pleosporales; Leptosphaeriaceae.
CCUUUCUAUCAGGGGUGUUGGCCCGGAGAACAGGGCUUUUGCCUCGUUCUUUGGCCUCUCCCUUCUGAUUCUACCCAUGUCUUUUACGCACUAUCUGUUUCCUCGGUGGGCUUGCCUGCCGAUUGGACAACCUAAAACCAUUUGUACUUGCAGUCAGCGUCAGUCAUAAAAUUAAUAUU